RNAcentral lists this ribosomal RNA (497 nucleotides) under uncultured bacterium. Its description in RNAcentral is "partial 16S ribosomal RNA". It matches the Rfam family "Bacterial small subunit ribosomal RNA", at positions 28 to 507 of the family's 1533-position model. The record is from RNAcentral.
GAUGAACGCUGGCGGCGUGCCUAAUACAUGCAAGUCGAGCGAACAGACGAGGAGCUUGCUCCUCUGACGUUAGCGGCGGACGGGUGAGUAACACGUGGAUAACCUACCUAUAAGACUGGGAUAACUUCGGGAAACCGGAGCUAAUACCGGAUAACAUGUUGAACCGCAUGGUUCAACAGUGAAAGACGGUCUUGCUGUCACUUAUAGAUGGAUCCGCGCCGCAUUAGCUAGUUGGUAAGGUAACGGCUUACCAAGGCAACGAUGCGUAGCCGACCUGAGAGGGAGAUCGGCCACACUGGAACUGAGACACGUUCCAGACUCCUACGGGAGGCAGCAGUAGGGAAUCUUCCGCAAUGGGCGAAAGCCUGACGGAGCAACGCCGCGUGAGUGAAGAAGGUCUUCGGUUCGUAAAACUCUGUUAUUAGGGAAGAACAAAUGUGUAAGUAACUAUGCACGUCUUGACGGUACCUAAUCAGAAAGCCACGGCUAACUACGUG